Molecule: ribosomal RNA, 253 nt
Filed under: uncultured bacterium
Lineage: Bacteria
Description: partial 16S ribosomal RNA
Rfam family: Bacterial small subunit ribosomal RNA
Source: RNAcentral
UACGUAGGGUGCGAGCGUUAAUCGGAAUUACUGGGCGUAAAGCGUGCGCAGGCGGUUCGUUAAGUCAGAUGUGAAAGCCCCGGGCUCAACCUGGGAACUGCAUUUGAAACUGGCGGGCUUGAGUAUGGCAGAGGGGGGUGGAAUUCCGCGUGUAGCAGUGAAAUGCGUAGAGAUGCGGAGGAACACCGAUGGCGAAGGCAGCCCCCUGGGCCAAUACUGACGCUGAGGAGCGAAAGCGUGGGGAGCAAACAGG